This 370-nucleotide transfer-messenger RNA is filed under the name Mycobacteriaceae. RNAcentral's name for it is "Lawsonella sp012842085 Standard tmRNA". It matches the Rfam family "transfer-messenger RNA". From Rfam's summary of the family: Bacterial tmRNA, also known as 10Sa RNA or SsrA, is named for its dual tRNA and mRNA-like properties. Its role is to liberate the mRNA from a stalled ribosome. To accomplish this part of the tmRNA is used as a reading frame that ends in a translation stop signal. RNAcentral also lists the same sequence under 2 other names. The record is from RNAcentral. Lineage: Bacteria; Bacillati; Actinomycetota; Actinomycetes; Mycobacteriales.
GGGGCUGAACGGUUUCGACUGCGUAUGUUGCGUAAGGAGAAGCGUGCCGGUGCAGGCUAGAGACCACCGUAAGCGUCGUAGCAACUUAUUAAGCGCCGAUAAUACUCAGCGCGACUUCGCUCUCGCUGCCUAAUAGCGACAGCAAGUCUGUGGACCUAGAGGUGUUCCCGCUCUGGCAAUCCACAUUAUCUAGGGGACUUACCGUUAGUAGCGGCUACGGCUAUUAGCGGAACACCAAACAGUAGCUGGGUUCAUCUUCCGGACUCGUGGGCGUGAUCCGGAGAACCAAGUAAGGAUGCAGUCCACUGCGCACGGAGAAGUCCUCACAAUACUGCGUAGGACCCGGGUUCAAUUCCCGGCAGCUCCACCA